This 490-nucleotide ribosomal RNA is filed under the name Lactococcus lactis. RNAcentral describes it as "bacterial SSU rRNA". It matches the Rfam family "Bacterial small subunit ribosomal RNA", at positions 28 to 500 of the family's 1533-position model. The record is from RNAcentral. Lineage: Bacteria; Bacillati; Bacillota; Bacilli; Lactobacillales; Streptococcaceae.
GACGAACGCUGGCGGCGUGCUUAAUACAUGCAAGUUGAGCGCUUGAAGGUUGGUACUUGUACCGGCUGGAUGAGCAGCGAACGGGUGAGUAACGCGUGGGGAAUCUGCCUUUGAGCGGGGGACAACAUUUGGAAACGAAUGCUAAUACCGCAUAAAAACUUUAAACACAAGUUUUAAGUUUGAAAGAUGCAAUUGCAUCACUCAAAGAUGAUCCCGCGUUGUAUUAGCUAGUUGGUGAGGUAAAGGCUCACCAAGGCGAUGAUACAUAGCCGACCUGAGAGGGUGAUCGGCCACAUUGGGACUGAGACACGGCCCAAACUCCUACGGGAGGCAGCAGUAGGGAAUCUUCGGCAAUGGACGAAAGUCUGACCGAGCAACGCCGCGUGAGUGAAGAAGGUUUUCGGAUCGUAAAACUCUGUUGGUAGAGAAGAACGUUGGUGAGAGUGGAAAGCUCAUCAAGUGACGGUAACUACCCAGAAAGGACGGCUAU